RNAcentral lists this ribosomal RNA (330 nucleotides) under Triticum aestivum (bread wheat). Its description in RNAcentral is "partial small subunit ribosomal RNA". The record is from RNAcentral. Lineage: Eukaryota; Viridiplantae; Streptophyta; Magnoliopsida; Poales; Poaceae.
AUGCAUAAGGCAUAUAACCGUGUUGAAUGGGUCUUCCUGGAAGAGAUCUUGCUGAAGUUGGGUUUUCAUGAGGAUUGGGUCAACCUGGUGAUGCAAUGUAUGACUACGGACGAGUAUUUUGUUCGCUUUAAGUCUAUUGAAACUGAUACUUUCAAACCCACAAGAGGUUUACGUCCGGGAGAUCCUCUAUCACCAUAUUUGUUCCUGUUAUGUAUGGAGCGUUUAAUUGCAUUACUUGCACAUGAAGAAGAGGCUGGGAAUCUAGAGGGCGUAAAGGUAUGCAGAGAGGCCCCAUCAAUCUCUAAUCUCCUGUUUGCAGAUGACUCUUGA